AGUGAACGCUGGCGGUAGGCCUAACACAUGCAAGUCGAACGGCAGCACAGUAAGAGCUUGCUCUUACGGGUGGCGAGUGGCGGACGGGUGAGGAAUACAUCGGAAUCUACUUUUUCGUGGGGGAUAACGUAGGGAAACUUACGCUAAUACCGCAUACGACCUACGGGUGAAAGCAGGGGAUCUUCGGACCUUGCGCGAUUGAAUGAGCCGAUGUCGGAUUAGCUAGUUGGCGGGGUAAAGGCCCACCAAGGCUACGAUCCGUAGCUGGUCUGAGAGGAUGAUCAGCCACACGGGAACUGAGACACGGUCCAGACUCCUACGGGAGGCAGCAGUGGGGAAUAUUGGACAAUGGGCGCAAGCCUGAUCCAGCCAUACCGCGUGGGUGAAGAAGGCCUUCGGGUUGUAAAGCCCUUUUGUUGGGAAAGAAAAGCAGCAGGUUAAUACCCCGCUGUUCUGACGGGACCCAAAGAAUAAGCACCGGCUAACUUCGU
This 491-nucleotide ribosomal RNA is filed under the name uncultured bacterium. RNAcentral's name for it is "partial 16S ribosomal RNA". It matches the Rfam family "Bacterial small subunit ribosomal RNA", at positions 29 to 506 of the family's 1533-position model. The record is from RNAcentral.